CGAGUGAAGCGGCAACAGCUCAAAUUUGAAAUCUGGCUCUCGGGCCCGAGUUGUAAUUUGUAGAGGAUGCUUUUGAUGCGGUGCCUUCCGAGUUCCCUGGAACGGGACGCCAUAGAGGGUGAGAGCCCCGUCUGGUUGGAUGCCAAAUCUCUGUAAAGCUCCUUCGACGAGUCGAGUAGUUUGGGAAUGCUGCUCUAAAUGGGAGGUAUAUGUCUUCUAAAGCUAAAUACCGGCCAGAGACCGAUAGCGCACAAGUAGAGUGAUCGAAAGAUGAAAAGCACUUUGAAAAGAGAGUUAAAAAGUACGUGAAAUUGUUGAAAGGGAAGCGUUUAUGACCAGACUUGGGCUUGGUUAAUCAUCUGGGGUUCUCCCCAGUGCACUUUUCCAGUCCAGGCCAGCAUCAGUUUUCGCCGGGGGAUAAAGGCUUCGGGAAUGUGGCUCUCUCCGGGGAGUGUUAUAGCCCGUUGCGUAAUACCCUGGCGGGGACUGAGGUUCGCGCAUCUGCAAGGAUGCUGGCGUAAUGGUCAUCAACGACCCGUCUUGAAACACGGACCAAGGAGUCGUCUUCGUAUGCGAGUGUUCGGGUGUCAAACCCCUACGCGUAAUGAAAGUGAACGCAGGUGAGAGCUUCGGCGCAUCAUCGACCGAUCCUGAUGUUCUCGGAUGGAUUUGAGUAAGAGCAUACGGGGCCGGACCCGAAAGAAGGUGAACUAUGCCUGUGUAGGGUGAAGCCAGAGGAAACUCUGGUGGAGGCUCGCAGCGGUUCUGACGUGCAAAUCGAUCGUCAAA
RNAcentral lists this unclassified non-coding RNA (789 nucleotides) under Fusarium equiseti. RNAcentral describes it as "sequence contains 28S rRNA gene". It matches the Rfam family "Eukaryotic large subunit ribosomal RNA", at positions 90 to 909 of the family's 3401-position model. The record is from RNAcentral. Lineage: Eukaryota; Fungi; Ascomycota; Sordariomycetes; Hypocreales; Nectriaceae.